UAAUGCACCAAUGAUGACCUGCAUCCUUGGUGCCAUCCAUUGGAAACAUCUUGGGCUGUACCUGACUGGCAUCAACACAGGCCCAGGCUCUACACCACAGCCAAUGGUCCUACCCAGAGCCUCUAGCAGAAAACACCAGGGGAGACUCAAGGUGGACCCCUAGGAUUCUGGGGUCAAAGCUACAAAGGCUCCAAAGCCACCACAGCUGAAAAGGAGAUACUGGAGCUGCUUUGGAAGUGAUGGGUUGGAUAUUCACAAGUAGAGCUUCGUCUCCUCAUGAUGCCACCAAUGCUGCACGGAGUAAGUGGAUGGCAGGAAUCUCACAGUGGGCUCCAGUAGGAAAGCCCAGUCACCCAGGUCUUGUAGAAGCCAUUGUGUGUAUUUGUUAAAAAAUUGUUGCUCAGGGCCCCAUUUAAAAUUAGUUUUCUUUUGGAUCAUGUCAGAGAGGAAAAAAAAAAAUUUUUUUUUUUUUUUUUUUACACUAAAGGACAAACACAGAUAGUCUUCCCUCUUACUGUCAUAUGGAUACUCUUGCUAAAAUCCAUAACAAUCAGAAUCUCAACAGUAUUUAAUUUUCAAAAGGCCUGGAAGUAUGUGGCAGAUCUAAGGUAGUGGUAGGGCUGUAACUGGAGAAUAGAAACCUCCCUCUCCUCCUGUGCCAGGGAAAGGCAGAUGUUUAAUACAACAGCAUAUGACAGGAGUUAAGCUAUGUCACUAAGUAUGCUAAUCUGAUAUCUGUAUUGUUUAAUCAAAUUCAUACAGACAUUUUUCCUUUAUCUUUCAUUUUCAUAGGGUGGUUACAGGUUUUUUUCACAGCAUCCAAUAAGGUUUGAAUUUAGAACUUUCAAACCCAUGUUCUUUUUAAAUAGCAAAUCUUUAUAUGGAGGGAAAAAAGUUAUUUUAAAAGUUAUGAAAAAUGUUAGUUAGUUUAUGCUCAGGAUUGUUGUUUACUUAUUCAAACACUUGUCUUGAUCAAAAACAGUCUUGAGAGUCUGUAUCUGUGCCUUAUAAAUAAAAAAUCAGAUUAAGAUCAUGGCAGUCAACUUCAUUACUCCUGACUGUGAGACAAUUUGCUUUUAAAGCACAUGGCAGUAUCUAACAGUACAGUCGCCUGAUUUAGUUGAAAAUGGCAAUAAGGGUUUAGCUUUCAUGAAGUGUAUUGAAACCACCAUGUGAAAAACUAUGAAUCCCUGAGAUUAAGUCCUAAUUUUAAAAGUUAUAAAUGUUUUUAAUUAUAUUGCCUGUGCAAAAUACUUUGUUUCCAGGAAGCACUUUAGGAAUGUGUAGUCAGAAAGGCCAGGAAUCCAAACUCUAGUUCAAGCAGUCAUUCUGGUUUAGAAAUAGUGCAAAAGCAUGUUCGUGGAUAAUUUGGUUAUUCCUACUGAACUUGAACGUGAACACAGGAAAUAACACACACUUUUACACAGCUAUUAGGCUUUCCAAGGGGAAAAACAUAACUUAGACCAUUUAAAUAAGAGUAAAGUAUUGAAAUAAAAAUUCUAUCAUGGUAAUAAUACUAAUAUAGUAAGUUAAAAUAAGGUAAAAAUAAGAUACAUAAGCUAAAAAUAAGUAUUGAACUAAAAGGGAAGAUAAUAUUUUUUCAUAAGAAUGGAACUUUUAUCUACAGUUAUAGUUAUUAUUCAAUAUGCUAUUGUAUUUAAAUUUAUAAUAUUUUCCCCAUUGCUUUGAGUUUAAUUACAUCUAACCAUCUCUAGAUUUUGGAUUGGUUAUGUG
Molecule: long non-coding RNA, 1734 nt
Organism: Apus apus (common swift)
Lineage: Eukaryota; Metazoa; Chordata; Aves; Apodiformes; Apodidae
Exons: 3
Source: RefSeq, a predicted model, not a curated record